UUUGAUAUGCCUGCAUUUUGGAAAAAAAAAUUGAGGAUUUAGCCCAGUCGCUUUCCCUUGAUAUAGCCUUGUUCUGAAUUAAAAUGGAAAAAAUAUUUCAAUUAUUUUCAUCUUGUUCUCAACUGGAUGUUAGUCAAUGUGGUCUCUUUUUGAAUAUGUAUCAAAUAUUAAUGAUCCAUAAUAUUAGGGAGAUAAUUUUAAAUGAAGUGAUACGUGUCUAACUUACUUAAAGAAUAAGUUUUUGGUUUUUGCUUUUAAAGACAACCAAAUCUGAUAUUGUUCAUCCUGAUAAAAAUAACAACUUUUAGUGCUUAAAGCAUUAAUUAAGCAAGUGGCUAGGUAUGAUAAAGAACUUCUGCUUGCUCCCCAAGAGGCAAACUAUUAGAAGAACUGGAGCGGGAGUCCUUUGGACCCAUCGUGGAUCUCUUUAAGCCACUGCUACCCAAAAACAUUCAGGACAAGCAAACAUUUAGAGCAAGAAUCUCCAAAUUCUUCAGGAUUUGUAAUGAAAUGAUGUUCAGUUCCAUUUUGCUCUUUACAUAGGGUGGAGAAUUGUCAUGUCUUCUCUAAUUUUUCCAAGUAAAGUGGUAGCAAAAUGUUUUAAAAAGCAAUCUUAUAUUAGAAAACAAAAAUGUUGUCACUUGAAAUACCAAAACAACAUUUCUGAGCGUUGUUGAGGGACUGGCAAAGCAAUCAGCUACUAUAACAAAUCAGUAGAAAUAACCCUCCCACACCAGAUAUGCAUGCAGAAGGAAUGGAGUAUUAUAGAGACUUGAUACAAUGGACAUAUGCACAUGGAGGUACAAAACACACAGUCUAAAUACAAAUGAAUUCCAUCAGAUUUACUAUACGGAACAUCAGUAGUGACAGAUUGCACUUCUUACUUAAUAACAGCAAACUUAAUUUCUGAGGGGAAAAAAAUGGCGAAGUCUUAUCCCAAACAAAUAGCAAGAGAGGUAUCAUCAAAGAGCUAAAAUUUUCUUUGGCAUGGUAAAGGGGGAAAUUGAGUUUACCAACUUAUUUACAUGACAUUUCUCUAUAUUGGUGAGUAAUGCAAUGCCAUUUUGUUACAUAAAGUUGUUUGAUGUUUUUUAAUAUGCCUUCAUAUAAAUAUUUUAUUCAAUAUGUUGUAUUUGUGAAUUUAACAAAUGAUAUUAAACACAAACUACAAUGCAGACAGACAAACUCUUUGUAUGCAAAUUAGCAAUACAUACCAACAGUUCUUGAUACACAGGUACCUACUACAUGCAGCUCAUCAUUGCUGUCCUCUUCCCAUGCUACAGGUGAGACCAGACACAAAGUAAAUGACCUAACUCAAUUACAAAUAACAAGGACCCCUCUGCAAUAUGUCUAAACAUAUAUUAGAAGAAAGUAUUUGACAUCCUUCAUAGGGAUAAAUGCCCUUAUAGACACCCCAUAUAUAAAACACAACAGAGAUACACAUUUACAUAAAUCUCAGUCAUUUACAAAAAUAAAUCUUGUCUUAAUUUAAACCAAUAAACAGACUUGCAGGGGAAAAAGAAACCAGCAAGUAGGGCUAAUUAUCAGUAACAAAUAGAUGGGGGUGUUUGCUCUGUGUGUGUGUGUGUGUGUGUGUGUGUGUGUGUGUAUAUGUGUGUGUUUGUGUGAAGUGAAGUGUUGCUGCUGUAAGUAGUGUCCAUAAGCCCAUUUGACUGUAUUACAAGUUAGUUAAUUACUCAUAUAGUUGGCCACAUAUUAUGGGAUCUAUGUUUUCUGAAAAUAAUUGGUUAAUGGAAGUUAUCUAAUAUAUUUUAACUGUUCCUGUUAAAAACAAUAGGCUUCAAGAUGACAUAACACCAAAUCAAAAAUGACCAAAGGAAUCAUUUUGUUUGUUAGAUUUGUAAUUUAGCAUCAUUGGCAAUAAAUCUACUCAAACGUU
This 1900-nucleotide long non-coding RNA is filed under the name Homo sapiens (human). RNAcentral's name for it is "non-protein coding lnc-ITGBL1-2:1". Lineage: Eukaryota; Metazoa; Chordata; Mammalia; Primates; Hominidae. The record is from RNAcentral.